Molecule: transfer RNA, 88 nt
Filed under: Vibrio parahaemolyticus
Lineage: Bacteria; Pseudomonadati; Pseudomonadota; Gammaproteobacteria; Vibrionales; Vibrionaceae
Description: tRNA-Ser
Rfam family: tRNA
About the family: Transfer RNA (tRNA) molecules are approximately 80 nucleotides in length.
Source: RNAcentral
GGAGGCUUGGUAGAGCGGUCAAUUGCACUGGUUUUGAAAGCCAGCGGACGGCAACGUCCCGAGGGUUCGAAUCCCUCAGCCUCCGCCA